RNAcentral lists this long non-coding RNA (679 nucleotides) under Musa acuminata (dwarf banana). RNAcentral describes it as "long non-coding RNA (MACU_LNC007273)". The record is from RNAcentral. Lineage: Eukaryota; Viridiplantae; Streptophyta; Magnoliopsida; Zingiberales; Musaceae.
UCUCUUCGGUUCUCCUUCCCAUCGUCUCCUCUGCGCCAGAAAACGCUUCCUUUGUUCCUUCCUGGGGUUCGGAACAGCAACGGUUGCGGCACAGGAGGACUCUUCCAAUGCUCGACAGGUAUAUAACUUACCGGUAAUGCGUUCAUCUUCCGCAAUUCGGACUCAAAAUUCUGCUUUUGUAGAAGAUUGAUCGGAUUUUGACUUUCAGCUGUCUUGUAUCUGUUGCAAUUGGGUUUAUUCCUAUUGUCGGUUAAGUUGCACAUCUUUUUUUUGCUUUUUGGUUCGUCAUUAUGAUUUGAAACACAAACCCUAGGAGUAAGACCAAGUACAAGCAGCCAGACCUUCAGUUGGCAUGCCGGCAAGCAAUAUCAAGCUUAAACAAUAAAGCCAAAGAUCAAAACCAACUAAAAUAAUAAUAUCAAGAUAUAACGUAGCACAACUCUCAAUGGUUGAAGGAACCAUCCAUGGCCAAGCAAGCUAGAAGGUAUUCACUAUAAAAGAUGAGAUUACAACCUUCUCCCUAAUAUACGGAUAAACAAGACACAUUCUCUCUUGUAAUAGAAAAAGCUAAAGAAGAGAAACUCACAAAAGGGAGGAACCAAAUGAAGUAGAAGACUCUCUCGUCACUUCUCUCUUUUUUCUCUUUCCUUCUCUAUUUCUCACUGCACUCUCCACUGGU